This 339-nucleotide ribosomal RNA is filed under the name Escherichia coli. Its description in RNAcentral is "bacterial SSU rRNA". It matches the Rfam family "Bacterial small subunit ribosomal RNA", at positions 833 to 1172 of the family's 1533-position model. Lineage: Bacteria; Pseudomonadati; Pseudomonadota; Gammaproteobacteria; Enterobacterales; Enterobacteriaceae. The record is from RNAcentral.
UGAGGCGUGGCUUCCGGAGCUAACGCGUUAAGUCGACCGCCUGGGGAGUACGGCCGCAAGGUUAAAACUCAAAUGAAUUGACGGGGGCCCGCACAAGCGGUGGAGCAUGUGGUUUAAUUCGAUGCAACGCGAAGAACCUUACCUGGUCUUGACAUCCACGGAAGUUUUCAGAGAUGAGAAUGUGCCUUCGGGAACCGUGAGACAGGUGCUGCAUGGCUGUCGUCAGCUCGUGUUGUGAAAUGUUGGGUUAAGUCCCGCAACGAGCGCAACCCUUAUCCUUUGUUGCCAGCGGUCCGGCCGGGAACUCAAAGGAGACUGCCAGUGAUAAACUGGAGGAAG